GCCAGCAUGGCAUAGUGAUUUGAGUGUUAGACUACAACUCCAAAGACCAAGGUUCGAUUUCCAGCUCUGCCA
Non-coding RNA from Phrynosoma platyrhinos (Desert horned lizard), 72 nucleotides. The record is from the annotation of a GenBank genome assembly. Lineage: Eukaryota; Metazoa; Chordata; Lepidosauria; Squamata; Phrynosomatidae.